UUCUUCACGGUGGCUUGUUCUCGGUGGAGGGCUGCGUCAUCUUCGUAGUGAUGCUUGUUGUACAUCCGUUGUCCGCUUCGAGUUGGCUUAGCUGAUCUCCGGCACCUUUGUAUCUUGCUCUGUGUGUUUGGGUGAUGUGUUUGUAUGGUUCGGUUGUAUGAGGGUCAUUGCUUUAUAUACAAAGCGGGGCGAAAGCCUUUUUCGGUAAGAGAUUUUUAUCAAUACCAAGAACCCAGGCUUAGGCUUUUUUGGUUGAAAGAGGAGAUUGCUGCAAUUGAGAGAUCAUAAGGUAUCCAUCUUUGCCAUGUAGUUUCUUAUGAUAUGCUAGCUAGACAUCCAAUGAUUUCUACUAGGCUUUCUUUGCUAUACAUAUACUAGCAGCUAGUGAACUUUGUUAGACACUUGACUGUAACCUUAGUCCAAUCAGUUGGCCUAAAGCUAGAACCUGGUCUGUUGGUAGCUAUAAUUAGAAAGAGGAUGCAGAUAUGGUACCACCAGCUUGCCAAGUGCCUAGCUACUUAAUGAUGCUAUUUCUUUACUUUUUUUUCUCUAUUGCUUUGAUUAUGAUAUGUUGUUAUUCAAGUGAACUUGUAGCAAUCUGCUUGACAAAUGAUUUACUCAUCAGGGAAGUAACUUGUCGUAGCAGGAGUGUGUGCCUAAUCUUGUUCUUAGUAUUAGGUGCAUAGGACUAGGUCAUGUGAUUGGGUUCAUGUUAAUUUGCACAAUGCACCAUCAGAUUGCACAUUUUCAAACAUAUUGGUUGGGUUCAUAUUAAUUUGCACAAUGCACCAUCAGAUUGCACAUUUUCAAACAUAUUGGUUGGGUUCCUGAACAGUCUUGUGGCAAGCAAUGCAGUCUUAAUUUUGUUAUGCACAGUGCACACAUCAUAUGUUGGUUCAUACUGUUCCAUGUCAAUAUGAUUGUACUAAGAAAUAGUGUAGUCAGACCUUGAAUUGAUUCUAGCUAACUUACUUCUUUUUGUAUUUCAGCCAACAUCAAGUUGUGGUACGCAAUGUCCAUGAGGAGUGGACAAAAAACUUAAGUUGUACUAGUGACCGUCUCCUUGCAGCAACGCAUAUUGUUCGAAAGUGUCCCUGCCUUGACAUGGCAACUUGAUAAUCCAGAACUUUUUAACCAUGACCUUGAGACCGAUAUUUGAACCAUGGUGAAGGGAUGGAUUAAGUUGUAAUAUUUUUUAAUAUUCUAUAAUUUGCACGAAUUCUGAAAUUUUGUUAUGUGCAUGUUGUUUUUGUGGUUGUUUUCCAAAAUUAUUUGUAGAAUUCUUAUCUAUGAGAUCUAUUGUCUUAUAC
This 1310-nucleotide long non-coding RNA is filed under the name Triticum aestivum (bread wheat). Its description in RNAcentral is "long non-coding RNA (TAES_LNC012355)". The record is from RNAcentral. Lineage: Eukaryota; Viridiplantae; Streptophyta; Magnoliopsida; Poales; Poaceae.